RNAcentral lists this ribosomal RNA (253 nucleotides) under uncultured bacterium. RNAcentral's name for it is "partial 16S ribosomal RNA". It matches the Rfam family "Bacterial small subunit ribosomal RNA", at positions 524 to 776 of the family's 1533-position model. The record is from RNAcentral.
GACGGGGGAUGCAAGGGUUAUCCGGAAUCACUGGGCGUAAAGCGUCUGUAGGUGGUGAUGCAAGUCACUGGUGCAAAACUCUGGCUCAACCGGAGGAAAGCCAGUGAAACUGCAUGACUAGAGUGUGGGAGAGGUAGAAGGAAUUCCCUGAGUAGCGGUGAAAUGCGUAGAUACAGGGAAGAACACCGGAGGCGAAAGCGUUCUACUGGAACACAACUGACACUGAGCGACGAUAGCUAGGGGAGCGAAUGGG